UACGUAGGGUGCAAGCGUUGUCCGGAAUUAUUGGGCGUAAAGAGCUCGUAGGCGGUUUGUUGCGUCUGCUGUGAAAACCCGAGGCUCAACCUCGGGUCUGCAGUCGAUACGAGCAGACUAGAGUGUUGCAGGGGAGACUGGAAUUCCUGGUGUAGCGGUGAAAUGCGCAGAUAUCAGGAGGAACACCGGUGGCGAAGGCGGGUCUCUGGGCAACAACUGACGCUGAGGAGCGAAAGCGUGGGGAGCGAACAGG
RNAcentral lists this ribosomal RNA (253 nucleotides) under uncultured bacterium. Its description in RNAcentral is "partial 16S ribosomal RNA". It matches the Rfam family "Bacterial small subunit ribosomal RNA", at positions 524 to 776 of the family's 1533-position model. The record is from RNAcentral.